Molecule: ribosomal RNA, 369 nt
Filed under: uncultured bacterium
Lineage: Bacteria
Description: bacterial SSU rRNA
Rfam family: Bacterial small subunit ribosomal RNA
Source: RNAcentral
AACGAACGCUGGCGGCAGGCCUAACACAUGCAAGUCGAACGCCGUAGCAAUACGGAGUGGCAGACGGGUGAGUAACGCGUGGGAACAUACCCCUCGGUUCGGAAUAACUCAGGGAAACUUGAGCUAAUACCGGAUACGUCCGAUGUUUUAAUCGACCUUGGAGAAAGAUUUAUCGCCGGAGGAUUGGCCCGCGUCUGAUUAGCUUGUUGGUGAGGUAAUGGCUCACCAAGGCGACGANCAGUAGCUGGUCUGAGAGGAUGAUCAGCCACAUUGGGACUGAGACACGGCCCAAACUCCUACGGGAGGCAGCAGGUGGGGAAUAUUGGACAAUGGGCGAAAGCCUGAUCCAGCCAUGCCGCGUGAGUGAUG